RNAcentral lists this long non-coding RNA (470 nucleotides) under Parus major (Great Tit). RNAcentral's name for it is "lncRNA (ENSPMJG00000019961.1)". Lineage: Eukaryota; Metazoa; Chordata; Aves; Passeriformes; Paridae. The record is from RNAcentral.
CACACUCCUCCUGACAGACACUGGGAGUCCUGGGGCAGCAGGACUGGGGAGGGAGAGGCCCUGAUCUGGGUGCUCAGAGCUCAGAGGCUUGAAGGAGCCUGUGGCUGAAGCAGAUGAGCCUCCCCAGGAGCACAGGAUUCACAGGCAGUGCUUCCAUCAGUGCACUCCAGCUCUCCUGCCUCUGCCCUGGGAGCCAUACCCUCACAGGCUCAAAACAAAUGGACUUGCUGCUUUAAAAAACAUCUUGCUGAAGCAGCUCCUACUUGCAACGACGAAAAAGUGGAAUUUUAGCUGCUUCUGAGGGACAGAAUAAGGCUAAUGAAAUCAUGUCAGCUGAGCCACUUGAGGAGGGGCAAGCACACCAAGAUGGCAGAGAGAAACAAUUCCUGCAGAGAAGAGGAUCUGCUCAUUUGCAAUACGUUGGUGACAGCUGCCAUGUGCCAAAGGAUUGUGUGAUGGAGGACACGGCA